GAGUAUUUAGUUUAUAUAAAAACAAUUGUUUUGAAAACAUUCUAAAAGAUACCCAAUCUUAAUACUUU
This 68-nucleotide transfer RNA is filed under the name Polycheles typhlops. RNAcentral describes it as "tRNA-Ser". Lineage: Eukaryota; Metazoa; Arthropoda; Malacostraca; Decapoda; Polychelidae. The record is from RNAcentral.